GUAGGUGGCAAGCGUUGUCCGGGAUUAUUGGGCGUAAAGCGCGCGCAGGGCGGCCCUUUAAGUCUGAUGUGAAAGCCCACGGCUCAACCGUGGAGGGUCAUUGGAAACUGGGGGACUUGAGUACAGAAGAGGAAAGCGGAAUUCCAAGUGUAGCGGUGAAAUGCGUAGAGAUUUGGAGGAACACCAGUGGCGAAGGCGGCUUUCUGGUCUGUAACUGACGCUGAGGCGCGAAAGCGUGGGGAGCAAACAGGAUUAGAUACCCUGGUAGUCCACGCCGUAAACGAUGAGUGCUAAGUGUUAGGGGGUUUCCGCCCCUUAGUGCUGCAGCUAACGCAUUAAGCACUCCGCCUGGGGAGUACGGCCGCAAGGCUG
Molecule: ribosomal RNA, 372 nt
Filed under: uncultured organism
Description: partial 16S ribosomal RNA
Rfam family: Bacterial small subunit ribosomal RNA
Source: RNAcentral